This 658-nucleotide ribosomal RNA is filed under the name Naganishia albida. Its description in RNAcentral is "partial large subunit ribosomal RNA". It matches the Rfam family "Eukaryotic large subunit ribosomal RNA", at positions 1 to 669 of the family's 3401-position model. The record is from RNAcentral. Lineage: Eukaryota; Fungi; Basidiomycota; Tremellomycetes; Filobasidiales; Filobasidiaceae.
UCAAAUCAGGUAGGACUACCCGCUGAACUUAAGCAUAUCAAUAAGCGGAGGAAAAGAAACUAACAAGGAUUCCCCUAGUAACGGCGAGUGAAGCGGGAAGAGCUCAAAUUUGAAAUCUGGUAGCCUUCGGUUGCCCGAGUUGUAAUCUAGAGAAGUGUUUUCCGUGCCGGCCCAUGUACAAGUCCCUUGGAACAGGGCGUCAUAGAGGGUGAGAAUCCCGUCCUUGACAUGGACCCCCGGUGCUUUGUGAUACACUUUCAACGAGUCGAGUUGUUUGGGAAUGCAGCUCAAAAUGGGUGGUGAAUUCCAUCUAAAGCUAAAUAUUGGCGAGAGACCGAUAGCGAACAAGUACCGUGAGGGAAAGAUGAAAAGCACUUUGGAAAGAGAGUUAAACAGUACGUGAAAUUGUUGAAAGGGAAACGAUUGAAGUCAGUCAUGCUCUUGGGACUUACCUCCCUUGAGUGGGGUCAACAUCAGUUUUGAUCGAUGGAUAAAGGCACGGGGAAGGUAGCACUCUCGGGUGAACUUAUAGCCUCGCGUCAUAUACAUUGAUUGGGACUGAGGAACGCAGCAUGCCUUAUGGCCGGGAUUCGUCCACGUACAUGCUUAGGAUGUUGACAUAAUGGCUUUAAACGACCCGUCUUGAAACACGGACCAA